This 1364-nucleotide ribosomal RNA is filed under the name metagenome. RNAcentral's name for it is "bacterial LSU rRNA". It matches the Rfam family "Bacterial large subunit ribosomal RNA", at positions 1537 to 2925 of the family's 2925-position model. The record is from RNAcentral.
CAAAAUCCGUAAGUUGAGCUGAAACACGAUAGUACACUGAACCUACGGGUGAGGUGAUAGUUGCCCCGAGCAUGCUUCCAAGAAAAGCUUCUAAGCUCUAGGAUAAUACAACCCGUACCGUAAACCGACACAGGUAGUCGAGGAGAGUAUCCUCAGGCGCUCGAGUGAUCCAUGGCUAAGGAACUCGGCAAAAUAGACUCGUAACUUCGGGAGAAGAGUCUCCCACCGCAAGGUGGGACGCAGUGAAGAGGCCCAAGCGACUGUUUAGCAAAAACACAGGACUCUGCGAAAUCGAAAGAUGAAGUAUAGGGUCUGACACCUGCCCGGUGCCGGAAGGUUAAGGAAGGGGCUUAGGGAGCAAUCUCGAAGGUCUUAACUGAAGCCCCGGUAAACGGCGGCCGUAACAAUAACGGUCCUAAGGUAGCGAAAUUCCUUGUCGGGUAAGUUCCGACCUGCACGAAUGGUGUAACGAUUUGGGCACUGUCUCAGCCAUGAGCUCGGUGAAAUUGUAGUAUCGGUGAAGAUGCCGAUUACCCGCAACGGGACGGAAAGACCCCGUGAACCUUUACUAUAGCUUCACAUUGUGCUUGAGUAUGGGAUGUGUAGGAUAGGUGGGAGGCUACGAAGCUGUGACGCUAGUCAUGGUGGAGCCGUCGUUGAAAUACCACCCUUCCCAUACUUAGGUUCUAACCCCGCAAGGGGGACGGUGUGUGGUGGGUAGUUUGACUGGGGUGGUCGCCUCCAAAAGAGUAACGGAGGCUCGCAAAGGUACCCUCAGCAUGGACGGUAAUCAUGCGAAGAGCGUAUAAGUACAAGGGUGCUUGACUGAGAGAACGACGGUUCGAACAGGUGCGAAAGCAGGCUUAAGUGAUCCGGUGGUUCUGUAUGGAAGGGCCAUCGCUCAAAGGAUAAAAGGUACUCCGGGAUAACAGGCUGAUCUCCCCCAAGAGCUCACAUCGACGGGGAGGUUUGGCACCUCGAUGUCGGCUCGUCACAUCCUGGGGCUGGAGAGGGUCCCAAGGGUUGGGCUGUUCGCCCAUUAAAGUGGCACGCGAGCUGGGUUCAGAACGUCGCAAGACAGCUCUGUCCCUAUCUGUUGUGGGCGCAGGAAUAUUGAGGAGAUCUGACUCUAGUACGAGAGGACCGGGUUGGACGUACCGCUAGUGUACCAGUUGUGCCGCCAGGUGCAGCGCUGGGUAGCUAUGUACGGCACGGAUAAGCGCUGAAAGCAUCUAAGCGCGAAGCCGUCUCCAAGAUGAGUAUUCCACUGAGGGUCGUAGAAGAUUACUACGUUGAUAGGUUACAGGUGGAAGCGUAGUGAUGCGUGGAGCCGAGUAAUACUAAUUACCCGAUAGCUUCCUCAA